UUGGGGACUUCCUCACUGCCAGCCCUGAAUCACCGUCUCUUUUCAGCGUUUUCUCCUAUUGGUCAGUUGGACUGAAGGAGCCCGAACUCUGAACCUGGUACACAUACUCAUGCCCCAUCACCUCUUCUGACAGGUGCUGUCUCCAUUCCAGGCUCUUCAUGAAUCAACCACUCUUCAUUCGCUGGGCGGGGGCCAGGUGCUCUGUUUGACUGGGUGCUCCUGCUGACUGAGGAAAGCACCACCUUAUCUCGAUCUAGGACAGGGACCAAGGGGUUCUGGCAAGCCCAGCUUUCAACAGCAACAUGGAGCAGAUGACAGUGGAGGAAGGGCCUGAGGCUUUACCUGAAAGGAAGCCCAGGAAAGGUCUAAGUGAUAAAGGAAUCUUUAUGGAUGGGGUCCAUAGUGAUUCAAAGAUUUUCUGAUUGGCAAUUGGUUGUAAGAGUUACUACCUAAAGGCCUGUAAUCAAUAGAAAAAAGUUGUGGAGACUGAGGUUCUUAGUACAUAGAGGAAGUUUCAUAGGUGGCCACUCUUACAGGCA
Molecule: long non-coding RNA, 539 nt
Filed under: Homo sapiens (human)
Lineage: Eukaryota; Metazoa; Chordata; Mammalia; Primates; Hominidae
Description: non-protein coding lnc-CD58-7:8
Source: RNAcentral